This 92-nucleotide transfer RNA is filed under the name Helianthus annuus (common sunflower). Its description in RNAcentral is "tRNA HanXRQr2_Chr03g0107421". The stretch from base 2 to 81 matches the Rfam family "tRNA". Rfam says of the family: Transfer RNA (tRNA) molecules are approximately 80 nucleotides in length. Their secondary structure includes four short double-helical elements and three loops (D, anti-codon, and T loops). The record is from RNAcentral. Lineage: Eukaryota; Viridiplantae; Streptophyta; Magnoliopsida; Asterales; Asteraceae.
AGCCGCUAUGGUGAAAUCGGUAGACACACUGCUCUUAGGAAGCAGUGCUAGAGCUUCUCGGUUCGAGUCCGAGUGGCGGCAUGCCAUCUUCU